AGACGAACCGGUCGAACGUUAUUCGGAAUCACUGGGCUUAAAGAGUGCGUAGGCGGUCUGGCAGGUGAGGUGUGAAAUCCCUCGGCCCAACCGAGGAACUGCGCUUCAAACCGCCAGGCUUGAGGAAGAUAGAGGUGAGCGGAACAGAUGGCGGAGCUGUGAAAUGCGUUGAUUUCAUCUGGAACACCUGUGGCGAAGGCGGCUCACUGGGUCUUUUCUGACGCUGAGGCACGAAAGCUAGGGUAGCGAACAGGAUUAGAUACCCCAGUAGUCC
RNAcentral lists this ribosomal RNA (274 nucleotides) under uncultured bacterium. Its description in RNAcentral is "partial 16S ribosomal RNA". It matches the Rfam family "Bacterial small subunit ribosomal RNA", at positions 523 to 796 of the family's 1533-position model. The record is from RNAcentral.